This 450-nucleotide ribosomal RNA is filed under the name uncultured bacterium. RNAcentral's name for it is "partial 16S ribosomal RNA". It matches the Rfam family "Bacterial small subunit ribosomal RNA", at positions 354 to 796 of the family's 1533-position model. The record is from RNAcentral.
GUGGGGAAUCUUCCGCAAUGGACGAAAGUCUGACGGAGCAACGCCGCGUGAGUGAAGAAGGUUUUCGGAUCGUAAAGCUCUUUCGUCAGGGACGAACGUAUUUCUUGUAAAUAAUGAGAGAUAGUGACGGUACCUGAAUAAGAAGCCACGGCUAACUACGUGCCAGCAGCCGCGGUAAUACGUAGGUGGCAAGCGUUGUCCGGAAUUAUUGGGCGUAAAGCGCGCGCAGGCGGGAUAUCAAGUCUGUCUUAAAAGUGCGAGGCUCAACCUCGUGAGGGGACAGAAACUGGUAUUCUUGAGUGUCGGAGAGGAAAGUGGAAUUCCAAGUGUAGCGGUGAAAUGCGUAGAGAUUUGGAAGAACACCAGUGGCAAAGGCGACUUUCUGGACGAUGUCUGACGCUGAGGCGCGAAAGCUAGGGGAGCGAACGGGAUUAGAAACCCCAGUAGUCC